This 434-nucleotide ribosomal RNA is filed under the name uncultured bacterium. RNAcentral's name for it is "bacterial SSU rRNA". It matches the Rfam family "Bacterial small subunit ribosomal RNA", at positions 958 to 1392 of the family's 1533-position model. The record is from RNAcentral.
AACGCGAAGAACCUUACCUACCCUUGACAUCCACGGAACUUAGCAGAGAUGCUUCGGUGCCUUCGGGAACCGUGAGACAGGUGCUGCAUGGCUGUCGUCAGCUCGUGUUGUGAAAUGUUGGGUUAAGUCCCGCAACGAGCGCAACCCUUAUCCUUUGUUGCCAGCGGUCCGGCCGGGAACUCAAAGGAGACUGCCAGUGAUAAACUGGAGGAAGGUGGGGAUGACGUCAAGUCAUCAUGGCCCUUACGAGUAGGGCUACACACGUGCUACAAUGGCGCAUACAAAGAGAAGCGACCUCGCGAGAGCAAGCGGACCUCAUAAAGUGCGUCGUAGUCCGGAUUGGAGUCUGCAACUCGACUCCAUGAAGUCGGAAUCGCUAGUAAUCGUAGAUCAGAAUGCUACGGUGAAUACGUUCCCGGGUCUUGUACACACCG